ACUAUAACAUGGAUUUAUCGUAAAAUUCAACGCAGCUUUUAGAAUUAGGAUGGAUAAAUGAGAAGCAAAGCUAAGUUUGCAUGAGUUACAAAGAUUUUUCGCAAAUGAAGACCUGGCUAAGAAAUUAGCCAUUGACGGAAAAGAAGAAUGCUGCAACCCUACAAGAACUAAAUAAAUUACCUUAUGGAAAAAUAAGAAGACCAGAAUAUUACGGAUGGUUUUAUGCAAAAGAAAAAUGCAACCUUAAUAGAGCGGGAAAAUCGAAAGAAAUUUUAUUGAUGCCUUUAACAGUUCGGCUAUUGGAAGAAGCACACGCUACGAAAAUAUUGCAGAAAACCAAAUGGAAAAUCCAACGCGAAGAUGGUUAAAGAGUAAUUCUUCUAUCCAUUAACGUUUCUAGAUGUUCGAACCUGGGGAAAAAGGGACCAAAUGACGAGGAUGUUUGAAAAAUCCUGCCGCCUUUGAAACAAUGCCCUAGAGGGAAAAGAAGCAACCAACUGAAUCUACUAGAAUGUAAUUUGACUUAGUAAAUGUAAAUCCCAUUUGUAAAAUCCUACUUUACAGGAAAACUGUCCUCUCGACUUCCGUAUCAAGUUUUCGAAUUUGGAAGAUGCCCUACAUUUAUGCACUGAAUAUUGCUUCAAAAAGCCACUUAAAAUCCGCUGCUUUUACGCUCGAUAGGAAAGGAAGACUUGGACCUUUAAAGACAGAUACAAGACAGAAGACAAAGUAACAUGAACCUUCAGAAGAAGUUAACCCAGUACUUAAAUGUAAAUCCUGAAAGAAGCAAAAAACAUGUUGAAAACGAAAAACAUGAGAAGAAUAUAGACUACUACCGGAAAACGUACUUCUCAACGCCUUGUUUAAGCAAAUGAACCUGAACAAACAUUCUUCAAGUGUCCUUAAUGAUUUCUACUCAACGACACAGAGUUCCUCAUUUUCUUUGCCUUGACUAGGAACAUUUGGACUCUAGAACCUUAAGACUAGUAAAACUGUCCUGGCCUUUGCCAGCAGCAUCAGCACCUAAGUAGAAGCUCACCUGCAUGUGUCCCAUAAUCAUACAACUCCAGCAACAGGAACGUGUAGAA
Molecule: long non-coding RNA, 1088 nt
Organism: Dendroctonus ponderosae (mountain pine beetle)
Lineage: Eukaryota; Metazoa; Arthropoda; Insecta; Coleoptera; Curculionidae
Exons: 2
Source: RefSeq, a predicted model, not a curated record